CUUCUCCAAGAACUUCGGGCUCUACAGUGAGUGCUCUCCCAAGGAGUUACAGCCCCACCUCCUCGCAUCACUCCCCGCUUCGGCAGCCACAGCUGAUUCUGGUCCCUCUGUUUAGAUGAGAGAGUUGGGAAUCUGACUGUGGUUGGAAAAGAACCUGAGGGCAUCCUGCGAGUCCUUUCCCAGAUGGAGAAAAUUGUGCGGAUUACUUGGUCCAAUCCCCCUGCCCAGGGAGCACGAAUCGUGGCCAGCACCCUCUCUAACCCUGAGCUCUUUGAGGAAUGGACAGGUAAUGUGAAGACAAUGGCUGACCGGAUUCUGACCAUGAGAUCUGAACUCAGGGCACGACUGGAAGCCCUCAAAACCCCUGGGACCUGGAACCACAUCACUGAUCAAAUUGGCAUGUUCAGCUUCACCGGGUUGAACCCCAAGCAGGUUGAGUAUCUGAUCAAUGAAAAGCACAUCUACCUGCUGCCAAGUGGUCGAAUCAACGUGAGUGGCUUAACCACCAAAAAUCUAGAUUACGUGGCCACCUCCAUCCAUGAAGCAGUCACCAAAAUCCAGUGAAGAAACACCACCCGUCCAGUACCACCAAAGUAGUUCUCUGUCAUGUGUGUUCCCUGCCUGCACAAACCUACAUGUACAUAUG
This 646-nucleotide small RNA is filed under the name Pongo abelii (Sumatran orangutan). RNAcentral describes it as "processed transcript". The record is from RNAcentral. Lineage: Eukaryota; Metazoa; Chordata; Mammalia; Primates; Hominidae.